UGCAAGUGGUAUUAGUGAUUAUUCAUUCACAUUCAACGAAUAAGUUUUUUGUUUUUUGUAAUGUGAUUCAAGCUCUAGAUUAAUAAGAAAUUGCUGUUUUUUCCUGAUUCAACCAAAGAAGUAAUGAAAGCAUUGAAAGGGGAUUCAAAUGUAAUUUCUUUCAAUUUUACGUUUUAUCUGAAUAAAGGCAAAAUGUGUGUUACAGAUUAUGCCUUACAGGAUGAUAUAUGUUAUUUUUGGUGGUCAAUCAAGUUCAAAUGACAGGACAGAAUUAAAAAACUGGAACCCACCAAAAUAUGCAAGUACAAAUAGACAGUAGAUAAAUAUAAUUAUUUGUGUGAUCAUCAUUAUAGUGAAAUUUUGGCCUGAUAUAAAGCAAAUCCACUAUAAGUGUGGUAUCAGAAUAUGUAUCUACGCAAGUAAUGUUAAUGUCUAUGCUAAAAAUUCAAAAACUAACAUGCAUGGGCCUGAAAAAAGUCUAGAGCUAAUCUAUAUCCUAAUAAGUGGAAAAGGAAUAAAAGACAUUAAUUUUGUGCAUGAGCCUUGACUUAAAACCAGAGAAUGGCCUGUAACAUAGACCAUUUCAAGAAUGAUCGAAGCUCUAUGGUAUUUCUGGAUACAGGGGAAGAAGCCAAACCGUAUUGUGUUACAUCAUAAAGAAGUAUAGUCAGAGGGAUUUUAACAUAACAUUGAUAAAAGCCUAAAUGGAAGGAUAUCCUCACAUCGCUGCUGGUGCCGCCAUGAGCAUGGAUUCUUCAAGUCAUCUGCCUCCCUCCCACUAUGCACAAGUCUAUAUUGCACAACAAGCAGAUCAGAGUAAUUGCAGAAAAGUACCAAGGCAAGUUUGUCAAGUUGUGGAGGGUUGUGAAUGUUGCUGACAAUUGAGGGACACUGGCAGAGAUGGUGUGGAUGGGUUGGUUUUGGCUAUAAAACCAUAUCAUGCGAUGGCAGGUUGUUGUAGUUCUUCCAUAUGCAACCAAAUGGCAUGCAGCUAUUUGCUUGACUGUGCAAAAGGCAUUAACUAAGGCUAUAAAGCUUGAUUUUUGCAGACUUAUUUCAACAAAAUCUAGAGCGAAGGACCUCUUUUAAUGUUCCUUGGCAAAUUGUUGUGCUGAUUGAAGACCACAAGUGCAUGGAAGUUGGAGAACGCUAGUGGUUAUGUAUGUUGUGCAUAAGAGAGUCAUGCUGGUGGUUAUGUUUGUUGUGCAUAAGAGAGUCACUGCAGAUGGGGUGCAUAAGAGAGUCACAGUAGUGAAUUUUUGCCAUGUUACAUAACAUGAGCUUUUGGUGCUUCCACAUUAAGAACCUAAUUUAUGUAUUUUAUUUUUCAGUCUUUACCAAAC
Quercus robur (English oak) is the source of this 1343-nucleotide long non-coding RNA. RefSeq lists it as uncharacterized. The record is from RefSeq and is a predicted model, not a curated record. Lineage: Eukaryota; Viridiplantae; Streptophyta; Magnoliopsida; Fagales; Fagaceae. The transcript is spliced from 3 exons.